CAGGGGGCCAGCAAACCAAAAAAGAGUGAGCCGGCAGCGUCCCUGACGCGGCCGGC
RNAcentral lists this non-coding RNA (56 nucleotides) under Pantoea septica. RNAcentral's name for it is "DnaX ribosomal frameshifting element". It matches the Rfam family "DnaX ribosomal frameshifting element". Rfam says of the family: This family represents a ribosomal frameshifting element found in the mRNA of the dnaX gene in E. coli. The dnaX gene has two encoded products tau and gamma which are produced in a 1:1 ratio. The gamma protein is synthesised due to programmed frameshifting and is shorter than tau. The record is from RNAcentral. Lineage: Bacteria; Pseudomonadati; Pseudomonadota; Gammaproteobacteria; Enterobacterales; Erwiniaceae. RNAcentral also lists the same sequence under 3 other names.